RNAcentral lists this long non-coding RNA (4155 nucleotides) under Sus scrofa (pig). Its description in RNAcentral is "lncRNA (ENSSSCG00000057339.1)". The record is from RNAcentral. Lineage: Eukaryota; Metazoa; Chordata; Mammalia; Artiodactyla; Suidae.
CAGAACUUCUUUCUAGGAUCUUUGAGUCCAAAUGUGUAUAGCUACAGGAUUUGGGGAAGCCCCCACAAUUGCUGGCUGGCAUGUUAAUUUUAUCUAAAGAACAGUAUUUGGCUGACCCAUUAAUUUGUCCUGUUCACUUUUCCAAUGUCAUAUCUACCAUCCAAAAAAAACUGAGGAUUUCCCGUUAUGGUUCAGCAUAACAAACUCAGCUAGUAUUCAUGAGAAUGUGGGUUGGAUACUGGCCCCACUCAAUGGGUUAAGGAUCCCGCACUGCUGUGAGCUGUGGUGUAGAUCACAGACGUGGCUCAAAUCUGGCAUUGCUGUGGCUGUGGCAUAGGCCAGCAGCUGUAGCUCUGUAGCCUGGGAACAUCCAUAUGCUGCAGGUGCAGCCCUAAAAAGCAAAAAAAUGAAAAAUCCCCACAAAAACAAAAACAAAAAAAAUUGAAAUUGCUUAGCUACCCAAAAGUUUCUCUUUUCUUCUUUGUUAUUUUAUAUAAAUAACCAUUACAUUGUAUUACUUAUCUAUUGAUGCAUAACACAUUACCACAAACUUAGCAUCUUAAAACAAUACACAUUAUCUCACAAUUUCUGUGAGUCAUGAAUCUGGGCACAGAUUAGUGGGUCCCCUCUGUCAGGGUCUCUCAUGAAUUUUCAGUCAAGGUGUCCUCCAGGGUUAGUUUCUCAUCUGAUAGCUUUACUGGUGAAAGGUCCGCUUCCAAGAUCAUGUGGAUUUUUGUUUGUUUGUUUGUUUGUUUUUUAAAGGCUGCAUCCACAGCAUAUGGAAUUUCCCAGGGCCAGAUAUUGAUUCUGAGUUGCAGCUGUGACCUACACCACAUCUGUGGCAAGGCUGGAUCCUUUAAUCCACUGCUUCAGGCUGGGGCUUGAACUGGCGCCUCUGCAGCUACUUGAGCCACUGCAGUCAGAUUCUUAACCCACAGAGCCACAGUAGGAACUCCAAGAUCAAGUGGAUUUUGACAGGACUUUACUCUGGUGGACAGAGUUGGGGUCUAAGGGAUCCAGGAGCUAGUGCCCACCCACCAGUGGGUGAAGGCAUUUCCUGACACAGCCCGUUGUGACUUGUGUUGUUUUGAUGGUGAAGUAGGUCCUGCCAUGGCAGGCUGUGGGGCUGAGGUUGUCCUGGGGCUGAGGUUGUCCUUGGGCUGUGUCCACCUGCUGGUGUGUGAGUCAGCUCCUGAAGCUAGAGCAGGCUCAGUGGUGGGCAGGGGAUUCCGGGGUUGGUGCCUGCCCACCGGUGGGUGGAACUGGGUUCCAGUGUCUGUGGCUACAGGGCCCUGGGGAACCCAGAUCUUAGUGCCUUAACAGUGGUAUGUGGGGGCCAUAUCCUGGGCCCUCUCUGGUGGGCAGAGUUGUGUCCAGGAGCAACUAUGAGCUCAGGGGGUCUUAAGACAGCCUAUCUGCUGGUGGCUGAGGGUGUGUCCCUGCCCAGUUAAUUGCUUGACCUGUGGCAUCACAGUUCUGGUACCUACCGGCUGAUGUGCCAGAGUAGGGCUGGGUCCAGAGGCUAAUAAGCUAGAAGGAAUAUUCCAAAAUGGCCCUGGCUAGAACCAGUGUCCACAUGGUAGAAUGAGCUCCCCUAAAUGGCUGAUAACAAUGUUUGUUUCCCCAGGGUGGGCUCCAAUUGCCUCCUGCCUCUCUGAGACACUCCUUUCAAAUUACUGCCCUGGGCCCUGGAGUAUGUGUGACUUUCUGUGUGCCCUUUAAGGCUGGAGUGUCUAUUUCCCAGUCCUCUGGGUCUCCAGAAAUAAACCCCACUGGCCUUCAAAGCCAAACAUUCUGGGGUCUUGUCUUCCCAGUGUGAAAUCCUCAGCUAGGGAACGUGAUGUGGGGCUCAGCUCCCUUGCUCUUUGGGCAGAACCCCUGCAAUUGUAAUUAUUCUCCUGUUUGUGGGUCCUCCACCUGGGGCUAUGGGUUUUGACUGUACUGUGACUACGCCGCUCUUACCCAACUCAUGGUUCCUUCUUCAUAUCUUUACUUGUAGAUCUUUUCUGGUAGGUUCCAGUCUUUUUCACUGAUAGUUAUUCUGUAAAUAGUUGUAAUUUUGAUGUGCCCAUAAGAGGAUGUGAGCUCAGGGUCUUUCUAUUCCACCAUCUUAAGCCUUAAACUAUAUACCAGAUAUUGGAGUAAGUAAUGGUAAGCGGAGUUUACUUUUCUCCUCUCCUAGCUUCACUACCCUAAAUAAUUAAAUUUAUGUAUUCUUUGCUCAUGCAAGGUUCUCUAUUGAAUGCCCUAUCUAGCAGAGUCUAGCAGGACCUCAUAGAAAAGAUGUUUUCUCUCCUCUGCCUUGAAGGAACUUUAAGAAUUCUAUUUGGUCCAGGAGAUUACUUCAAAUAAUAGUGGUGGAGAUGGACUUGGAACAACAUGCUAAUUUCCCUCUUCUGGACACGUGCAACAUAUUAGAUUGCCCAAGAAGGGAAAUACAGCUCUCAUAGAAUAUUCCAUUGGGUAAUAAAAUUCUUUUUUUUUUUGGAUAAUAAAAUUCUUGAGUGGGUUGCUUUGAGUUGAUGAUCUAUGGCAGUGUGUAUUUUAUUUAUACUCCUUGGCAAAAUGUAGCAAUAAUAAUUCAGGGCAUAAGGGAUAGUAAUAGAUUGUCAACCAUUACUACUUUUAAUGAAAUGAAAGUCUCAUUGGAAAAUGAUGGGGAAUUAAUUAUUUAAACAAUAAGCCAAAAUUGUUCUACUCUGUCCAAAAGAAAUUGAAGGAACAUCUCCCUUCUCUAUAACUUUCCUCCUGAUGACCUUGAGGAAAUGAUUUGGAAGCUGAAGAAAUGCCUAAAUUUAUUAGGGACCACAACAUGGCUAUACAAAGUGUUGGGAUUCCUGAGUCCUAGCUGUUAUAUGUGAAGUAGCUAUGAGCUCUGUUGCUGUUACCAUUGCUGUGUAGUGUACAGGGUGGCCAGUGGCAGUGCUUGACAUCUAAAGAAGCAUUCUAAGCUCAUCAACCCAAGGCUCCUUAUUAGAAGGCCCUAACAUAAAGAGCCUUCCAGCAUUGCUGCUCCUGAUUUCCCUUCCCAACACACAGAAGAUAUUCCUUUAAAACAAAUUGCUCAAGGGACCUUAUCACUUUCAAUCAUUUUCUCACACUGGAUUCUACCCAGGACGUCCAUCAGGAAGCUCAUAUGUGAACACUGUUUGAAAUUCCACUUACCAGGAAAACUUGGCAAAGGAACUAUGAUAGUGUCUAGUUUUUUUCCACCAACCAAAGCGUGCAAAAGUGUAUGAUUCAUUCAUUAUCUUUUUCCACGAAGUAUAUAGAAGCAAAAAAAAAAAAUGUAUCCCAGGUUUUCCCCUAUUCCCCCUUUUCCUUCCAUUUAUUGAAAGAGAAGUACCUGUGUGAGGUUGGUGACUUUCUUGGCUUCCUCCAUGGCUAAAGCUGUAUAAAGAACCUGUAUAAGGAAAUGCACAGCAGCAGCCUUCUCACAAGCAGAUUUUUCCAGGUGUGUCCCUCCCCGGUGGCCUCUUAGGACCUUAGAUCUUACUUGGUUCUAUUGGCUUUACUUGGAUGUUUGGUCUCCAUGCCCGGUCGCUUUGGAUAAUCAGAUGGAUGGUCUGCCUGGGUUUUGGUUUGGUUCUUCCCCAACAUGCUGCCUCUCACUGUAGCCUGUGAGUAAGUUAUAGAUCUCUCUGUGCCCAGGUUCCUGGGUUCUCUCACCUGGCUCAGACCUCAGCCUUUGGGCCCAUGCUUGCCUGGAAAGAGGAUGCAGAAUUCAAGACACUGUUGAAGAUACGGAAGGAGGAGAUGCUUAAAAGGAAUAUCAUACUCUCCAGAAGGUAAGGUUAGGGAGGGUGGAUACAUGAAAGAUAAUUUAUGAUUUAGUUAAUGUGAUUCAUAGGACAUUAAAGUAUAACUGUGAAGAUAAUCAAUAGAUAUUUACUGUGCAUCUACCUUCAUGGUACUUUUUAUUUUAUUUUUUUUAAACUGACUAUGUUGUACCAUAAACUAUUUAUUGGGUAUAGUUGGGAGAGAAUAUGUUCUAUUUAUUUCAGCUUUGGGCUAGUAUAUAUUAUAUGACAUAUAUUUAUUUUAGUAAAAUUGACUAGAAUACAUAAUUAUCAAGUUAUAUUUAUGUUUUAUAUUUAGUUUUGUAAUUUAAUGUUUCAGUACAUCUAAUGGAAAAAAGAGCAGCUCAAGAAAAGG